UACAGAGGUCCCAAGCGUUGUUCGGAUUCACUGGGCGUAAAGGGUGCGUAGGUGGCGAGGUAAGUUUGAUGUGAAAGCUCCGGGCUCAACCCGGAAAUGGCAUUGAAUACUCUCUCGCUAGAGGAUUGGAGGGGAGUCUGGAAUUCUCGGUGUAGCAGUGAAAUGCGUAGAUAUCGAGAGGAACACCAGUGGCGAAGGCGAGACUCUGGACAAUUCCUGACACUGAGGCCCGAAACCCAGGGGAGCAAACGGGUUUAGACCCCCCGGUAGUCCGGGCCCAAAAGGGUGCACGUUUGCUGUAGGCGGAAUCGCCCCCGCCUGUGGCGUAGCUAACGCGAUAAACGUGCCGCCUGGGGAGUACGGUCGCAAGAUUA
Molecule: ribosomal RNA, 374 nt
Filed under: uncultured prokaryote
Description: bacterial SSU rRNA
Rfam family: Bacterial small subunit ribosomal RNA
Source: RNAcentral